Molecule: non-coding RNA, 2248 nt
Organism: Lolium perenne
Lineage: Eukaryota; Viridiplantae; Streptophyta; Magnoliopsida; Poales; Poaceae
Source: RefSeq, a predicted model, not a curated record
CGGCCCCGGGUAGAGCCCCUAAUAGAUUUUGUUUGUUCUUUUCUUUUAUGCAUCAUCAUGGCAUAUGCAUCAUGCAUCAUAUCAUUCACAAGAUUUUAUCAAAUAAAAAUUAUUUUCAAAUAAAAACUAUUUCGUUUUCCUCUCAUAUGGUUUAAUAAACCCCCUCUCCUCUUUCAUUUAGCAAACCCUAAAAUCAAAACAGAUACAAAGAUUAUUUUAAUUACUUUGUUCUCUAUCUCCCCAUCUAUAUCAGUUUCAAAUUCAAACUUUGUUUGAAUUAAAUUCAAACUCAAUUAGCAAAACAGUUUUGAAAGAAAAGAGAAAAAGGUUUUAAAGAGAAAACCCCUCAUUCCCUCCCCCUGGGCCUUCUUCUUUUCUCCCCGACGCGGCCACCUUUCCUUCUCUCCUCUUCAGCCCAGCCCAGCCCACCUUGGCCACUUCGGCCCGUACCCCUUCGGCCACCACCUCUCCCUUUUUCCUGUCGUCAUCUUCCAGAGAGAGGCACGAGAGGAGCGUGCUGCCUUGGUCCUCCACCACAGCGCGUGGUCCUCCUUUUCCUCCCCUUUAUUCCUGGCACCAGCGCAUCCACGCCAACCCUCACCUGCUCCUCCUUAUCUCCUCCUCCCCUUUUCUUCUUCCUCUCCAAGCCAGGAACGAGAAGGAGCACAAACCCCCUGCCGCCGUCCACUUCCUCAUGGCGCCGCCGCUCCCCACCUUCCCUCGCCCUUCUGAGGACACCCAUAGAUGCGCCUCGACCUCCUCUUCAACCUGGUGCAAGCAAUCGAGCCGGGGUGCGCUAUUUCGCCGCCGAUGACCUUCUUCCCCAACCCCGGCCGCCGGCGUUUCUCGCUGAAUUUGGCCGCCACGGCCCUCCUCCGCCUUCCUCGACCUCACCGUCGCCUUCACGAUGUCCGCCGCCGCCACUCUCCGGCGACCUCCUCCUGGCGGCGCCGCUUCCAGAUGGUUCACGCCACCGAGCCGAAGCCGCGACGCCCUUCCUCGCUUCCUGGGGCGCCCUGUUUCGCCCGCGCGCGCCAUGCCGGCCCGCGGUGGUCACCGCCGCGUCUGGAACGCGCACGGCGUCGAACGCCUUGCGUGCGUGCGCUGAUGGUUGCCACGUCGUCUGCCCCAUCACCAGCCCUGGCCCACCUGUCAUCGACGUCGGCUAGAUCUCCCCUGGCAUUUGCUUCUUCCCGGAUAGGAUCGCGAAGUGGUGUUGUGAGAUACGACGAGUUCUCCGACAAGUUCAUCUUCAGCUUUUCACAGGCGAGCCCACCCCUUCACCUAUUUUACUUUUACAUGCUCUUUUGAUCUAUUGCUAUCCUUGUGUUGCGAUUCAGUUGUGUCACGUGUCCUAUCCACCUGUUACCUAUAUGUCCGAGAUACACCUCCUCGCCCUACCUAUUGUUUGUUGUUUGCCAGCUUUGCGAGUCGUAGGCGUGUUUAGGCUCUGUUGUUUAUCUCGAUCUGUUAUCGGGAUAUGUUGGGUUGUUGGGAGAUUUUCACAUGCUAUAUCAAUUGUUGGAGAUACGCAUGCUUUACUUAAUUGUUAACAACUAAAAUUGUAAGCAGAGGCAUCUGUGAGCCCCUUUGCGAAAGCAUCGGAACUUUGACUUGCUAAUGUCCCCUAGGACCCGAGUUCUUGUUAUCUGUUCCGAGAUUGAGCGCUCUACCCGUACGUGGGGGAGUGGGACCCCCAUCACCCACUACCUUUCCUCGAGUCUGUUUAUUGGGAGCCACAACCUUGGUUUUAUUUGCUCAUAUGCACGAUGCACGAUUUACUUCCUGUUGCCUUCGGGUGUUUAUAUUAUGUACUGUACUCAUAUCGUGGAACGAUUAGCGAAAGCAGGUUGUUCACACUUAGCUUAGCCGUUGGCACAAACCUCCGGGUCCAGUAUCGAGUACGGUCGAACUUCGUCACGGGUAGCUUAGUUGGGUGGCUCCCAUUAAACUUUCUCUUGCAUUGGGAACGGUCUUGAUGUGAGACUCCACCUGUAGUAAGUGGGUUCGAGCAUGCGUAUGGUUACAUUUGGGCAACCCCUGCAGGGUGUACAUCUUAUCGAUAAGCCGUGUCCGCGGUUAUGGACGACUUGGAAUUGUAUAGCUUGAUCAUAGAACAACUUACACCUUUAUGUUGUUAAUAAUAAUUUGCUAAUAACUUGAUUAGUAAUUUAGCAUUACUACAACCGAUACCUAAUAAAACUUGUCCACCGUUGAGUGCCUUUUACAUUGCCUCUUCGCAAUUGUU